RNAcentral lists this ribosomal RNA (260 nucleotides) under uncultured bacterium. Its description in RNAcentral is "partial 16S ribosomal RNA". It matches the Rfam family "Bacterial small subunit ribosomal RNA", at positions 1232 to 1500 of the family's 1533-position model. The record is from RNAcentral.
GGGCGGCACAGAGGGAAGCCAGGUGGCGACACCGCGCGGAACCCGAAAGCCGUUCUCAGUUCGGAUCGGAGUCUGCAACCCGACUCCGUGAAGCUGGAUUCGCUAGUAAUCGCGCAUCAGCCAUGGCGCGGUGAAUACGUUCCCGGGCCUUGUACACACCGCCCGUCAAGCCAUGGGAGCCGGGGGUGCUUGAAGUGCGUCGCCGCAAGGCGCGCCCUAGAGCAAAACCGGUGACUGGGGCUAAGUCGUAACAAGGUACC